GACGAACGCUGGCGGCGUGCUUAACACAUGCAAGUCGAACGGAAAGUCCCUGCUUUUGUGGGGUGCUCUAGUUGCGAACGGGUGAGUAACACUUGAGUUACCUGCCCUUGACUUUGGGAUAUCUUCAUGAAACUUGGUCUCAUACCGGCUAGGAGCUCCUGCUUCAUGGUGGGGGUUGGAAAGUUUCGGCGGUUGGGGAUGUACUCGCGGCGUAUCAGCUUGUUGGUGGGGUAGUGGCUUACCAAGGCGUUGACGGGUAGCCGGCCUGAGAGGGUGACCGGCCACAAUGGGAGGGAGGAGAGGCGCAGAAGACUACGGGGGGAAGCAGUGGGGAAUAUUGCAGAAUGGGCGGAGGACUGAUGAAGCAGCGACGCGGGCGGGAUGACGGACGUCGGGGUGUAAACAGCUUUCGCCUGUGACGAAGAGAGAGUGACGGUAAGGGGUAAAGAAGCACGGGCUAACUACG
This 466-nucleotide ribosomal RNA is filed under the name uncultured bacterium. RNAcentral's name for it is "partial 16S ribosomal RNA". It matches the Rfam family "Bacterial small subunit ribosomal RNA", at positions 28 to 505 of the family's 1533-position model. The record is from RNAcentral.